Molecule: ribosomal RNA, 253 nt
Filed under: uncultured bacterium
Lineage: Bacteria
Description: partial 16S ribosomal RNA
Rfam family: Bacterial small subunit ribosomal RNA
Source: RNAcentral
UCCGUAGGGUGCAAGCGUUAAUCGGAAUUACUGGGCGUAAAGCGUGCGCAGGCGGCUUUGUACGUCUGACGUGAAAUCCCCGGGCUCAACCUGGGAAUUGCGUUGGAGACUGCAAGGCUAGAAUCUGGCAGAGGGGGGUAGAAUUCCACGUGUAGCAGUGAAAUGCGUAGAGAUGUGGAGGAACACCGAUGGCGAAGGCAGCCCCCUGGGUCAAGAUUGACGCUCAUGCACGAAAGCGUGGGGAGCAAACAGG